CUUUGUCUGGCAUGCUAAAUCACAGAGAAGAGCAAAGAUCCUGGCAUAUAAAAGGGAUGAUCACUGCUUCUGCAUUAUGAUGACAUUCAAGACUUCAGCCUUCGGAAGUAGGAGGAAUGAGCUUGCCUUGCAGCAGAUGUCAUUUAGUUUACUCUUUACUUAAAGAGGACAGUCCGACUUAAAAAAUUAACAUGGGGAAACUCAUCAUGCCUAUGCAAAUGGACAGGUACUACAAGAUAGGUAAGUAACUGUGCUGAUGUAGUAAC
RNAcentral lists this long non-coding RNA (266 nucleotides) under Anas platyrhynchos platyrhynchos (common mallard). Its description in RNAcentral is "lncRNA (ENSAPLG00000024055.1)". The record is from RNAcentral. Lineage: Eukaryota; Metazoa; Chordata; Aves; Anseriformes; Anatidae.